RNAcentral lists this ribosomal RNA (497 nucleotides) under uncultured bacterium. RNAcentral's name for it is "partial 16S ribosomal RNA". It matches the Rfam family "Bacterial small subunit ribosomal RNA", at positions 28 to 507 of the family's 1533-position model. The record is from RNAcentral.
GAUGCACGCUGGCGGCGUGCCUAAUACAUGCAAGUCGAGCGAACAGACGAGGAGCUUGCUCCUCUGACGUUAGCGGCGGACGGGUGAGUAACACGUGGAUAACCUACCUAUAAGACUGGGAUAACUUCGGGAAACCGGAGCUAAUACCGGAUAAUAUAUUGAACCGCAUGGUUCAAUAGUGAAAGACGGUUUUGCUGUCACUUAUAGAUGGAUCCGCGCCGCAUUAGCUAGUUGGUAAGGUAACGGCUUACCAAGGCAACGAUGCGUAGCCGACCUGAGAGGGUGAUCGGCCACACUGGAACUGAGACACGGUCCAGACUCCUACGGGAGGCAGCAGUAGGGAAUCUUCCGCAAUGGGCGAAAGCCUGACGGAGCAGCGCCGCGUGAGUGAUGAAGGUCUUCGGAUCGUAAAACUCUGUUAUUAGGGAAGAACAAAUGUGUAAGUAACUAUGCACGUCUUGACGGUACCUAAUCAGAAAGCCACGGCUAACUACGUG